Molecule: ribosomal RNA, 468 nt
Filed under: uncultured bacterium
Lineage: Bacteria
Description: partial 16S ribosomal RNA
Rfam family: Bacterial small subunit ribosomal RNA
Source: RNAcentral
GACGAACGCUGGCGGCGUGCUUAACACAUGCAAGUCGAACGGAAAGGCCCUGCUUUUGUGGGGUGCUCGAGUGGCGAACGGGUGAGUAACACGUGAGUAACCUGCCCUUGACUUUGGGAUAACUUCAGGAAACUGGGGCUAAUACCGGAUAGGAGCUCCUGCUGCAUGGUGGGGGUUGGAAAGUUUCGGCGGUUGGGGAUGGACUCGCGGCUUAUCAGCUUGUUGGUGGGGUAGUGGCUUACCAAGGCUUUGACGGGUAGCCGGCCUGAGAGGGUGGCCGGCCACAUUGGUACUGCGAUACGGCCCAGACUCCUACGGGAGGCAGCAGUGGGGAAUAUUGCACAAUGGGCGGAAGCCUGAUGCAGCGACGCCGCGUGCGGGAUGACGGCUUUCGGGUUGUAAACCGCUUUCGCCUGUGACGAAGCGUGAGUGACGGUAAUGGGUAAAGAAGCACCGGCUAACUACGUG